Molecule: unclassified non-coding RNA, 520 nt
Filed under: uncultured Glomus
Lineage: Eukaryota; Fungi; Glomeromycota; Glomeromycetes; Glomerales; Glomeraceae
Description: SSU rRNA
Rfam family: Eukaryotic small subunit ribosomal RNA
Source: RNAcentral
AGCAGCCGCGGUAAUUCCAGCUCCAAUAGCGUAUAUUAAAGUUGUUGCAGUUAAAAGCUCGUAGUUGAAUUUCGGGGUUAGUAGGUUGGUCAUGCCUCUGGUAUGUACUGGUCUCACUGAUUCCUCCUUCCUGAUGAGCCGUAAUGCCAUUAAUUUGGUGUUGCGGGGAAUUUGGACUGUUACUUUGAAAAAUUAGAGUGUUUAAAGCAAGCUAACGCUUGAAUACAUUAGCAUGGAAUAAUGAAAUAGGACGUUCGAUCCUAUUUUGUUGGUUUCUAGGAUUGACGUAAUGAUUAAUAGGGAUAGUUGGGGGCAUUAGUAUUCAAUUGUCAGAGGUGAAAUUCUUGGAUUUAUUGAAGACUAACUACUGCGAAAGCAUUUGCCAAGGAUGUUUUCAUUAAUCAAGAACGAAAGUUAGGGAUCGAAGACGAUCAGAUACCGUCGUAGUCUUAACCAUAAACUAUGCCGACUAGGGAUCGGAUGAUGUUAAUUUUUUUAAUGUACUCAUUCGGCGCCUUAA